Molecule: transfer RNA, 71 nt
Filed under: Tissierellia bacterium
Lineage: Bacteria; Bacillati; Bacillota; Tissierellia
Also listed under: 4 other names
Description: tRNA-Met
Rfam family: tRNA
About the family: Transfer RNA (tRNA) molecules are approximately 80 nucleotides in length. Their secondary structure includes four short double-helical elements and three loops (D, anti-codon, and T loops).
Source: RNAcentral
AGCGGUUUGGAGAAGUAGUAUCUCGCCAGUCUCAUAAGCUGGAGGCCUUGGUGCAAUUCCAAGAACCGCAA